GGGACGGAGACUUCAGUCUGGUUCCCGACGAUUGUACUCUUCAUUACACAGCAAGAUUGCACGAGGAAUUCACGAAAUUUGCUGAAGACCUGGGCAAAUCUGGGCUGCGGCUGUCCCAGCCAUCCAAAACUGACGAGAUUAGGCAGAUGUUCUCGGAGCAUCAGGGAGUGGCCCUUCCCGACUUCCUGCCUCACACGGUCUUGCACCAGUUGGUGAAGAAACAGAUCGAUAGCAUCACCCAGACGUGUAUAUUCCUCGUGGACCGAGUGUUCAAAUAUGCCGCCGAAGUUGUGCUACAUGUUCAAAGUCUUAUAUUUGAAGUCUACCCUCACUUGAGGGACAAGCACCACAAGCUUGCAAUCCAAGUCCUGAAUGAGACCAAAAUGACAACUGUGGAGUUCGUUGAGAGAAUGUUGGCCAAAGAGAGAACGGUCAUCUUCACAACGAAUGCCUCCUAAUUGGAAACUAUGGCGAAGUUAAAUUCUGCUAUGGAAACAGCUCGGCGCUCAAACCAAGCAUAUAUCGAAUAAGAUGUUGGACCUAUCCGUGAGGGGCUGAUUCUUAACGAAGCAGUACCUGCGAUAGGGUGGUGCCUGUUGGUAACAAUAACAGUGACUUACCAAACAUAACAAACAACCUAAGUGAAACGUAGCAACUAGUCAAAUAGGCGAGACCUAAAUGGUCGCACCUCCCUCAUUAUAAUUAUAAUAGUGUACACUCAAUUUUAAUAUAGGUAAUAUAUUCUUUUUAUCAAAAACUUUCAAGUUCACUUGCUUCUAAUAUGAUAUGAGAGGGAAGCUCUGAAAAAGUUUUAUGAUAUAUAUUUAAAGAAAACACUGCAGACAGAAAAAGGAGGCUUUGUAGAAGACGUUCUAUAUAGAAAGUUGGAGCACCGACGAAUCCUCUUCUUGUCUUCAAACAUGACUGUAAGCAACAUUACCAUGGAUAAGUGGCCUAAGUUUGAUGGCUCGUGGUAUUCCAUCUGGAAGAAAAAGAUUGAAAUGAAGUUUGAAAUGGAGAACUUAUGGGAUGUAGUUUCAGGAAAAGAAACACAACCAACACUUCUUCAAUGAGUAAAUGCAACAUCAACUUCACCAUCAACUAAUCAAACUGAAAUCCUUACCUUGAAAAGGAAGGAUCAUGUUGCUUUAGCAGCAAUUUGGGAUUGCGUAGAAAAUCCAAUUUUCUCUCAUGUCAUAGCAUGCAAGACAACCAAUGAAGCAUGGCUGGCCCUUGAAAAUACAUACUCCGCAGGUGACAUCGUCACUCAAUCCCACCUACAAGAAAAAUUCAUCAUACCAAAGAUGAAAAUUGGAGAAUCGGUAACUCAACAUAUACACAACUUUAAAUGUCUGCUUCAACAAUGCACUUCUGUCGGAGUUAUCAUUUCUCCUCAAAUAGAAAUCUUCACUCUCAUGAGGUCCAUGCCAUCCCAGUAUGGCAUCGUGAUACAAAUGCUUCGCACAAUGGGGACUGUAACACUCCCCACGCUGAUUUCAAUCCUCUUGCAGGAAGAAACAGCCAUGAAAAGCUCUUCUUCUAACUCACAUGCCCUCUUUGUAGGACGCAAAGGAAAGACAAAAUGGCAACCUCACAAAUCCAAUCCUAAAGACCAUAAGCUUUUAAAACAGCACAACAAACCUACAACUCUUUACCCACAUUGUAAGAUAAUGGGGCAUUGGGAUUCCGAGUGUUUCAAACACAAAACAGGAGUUGCUGCAAAUUCAGCAACAACAAAUCAUGAUAACAAGAAAAAUAACCAAAUAUGGAAGCAAGAACAAGUAGAGGAAUUACCUCCCGCUUUCUAUGCCCAUGUUUACAUUACACAAGCUUUUUGCUUGGCGAAAUCACCUAAGCUUGGAACCACCAAAGACACACAAUGGCUCAUUGAUACGGGUGCCACCCACCACUUGGCACAUAAUAAACGACAAUUCAUUAAUUUCAAACCAUUUCUACAUGAUGACAACAAAGUAUACCUUGGCGAUGGCACAGCAUUACCCAUCCAUGGCCAAAGAGAAGUAGAAAUCUCAAUGGCAAAUGGCGAGAUUCUUCGUCUCUCUAAUACCUUAUAUGUACCAGAUUUACACAAAAAUCUAUUCUCAGUAUGUGACUAUAAUCUCGAAGGUGGUGGCAUCUUAAUAAAAAAUCAGAUGUGUGAUCUAUUAGUAAGAACACAAUACUCGCCUCCUAUCCUAUUCGAGAUAAUCUUUAUCUACUAGGAUCAACAAAAUUCCCAGCCCAAAAUGUGGUGGCACAUACCAUUACUUGGUCGGGAGAAUCACCAUCUAUUUUCGUGACCCCAAGUACCGAUCAGAGAGUUUUUAUCUCGCAACCUUCACUAACGACCCUUUCUAGUCCUGAUCACGUAUGCUGGUCACCACAGCUCUCUCCAACGCCGUCUUUCCCCUCUACGAACAACUCUGCCUAAUGGACAGUCAACGUGGAGUUAUCUUCCGCCUUCAACCCCCAUGCCUCUCAACUACCACUACCAGAGCCUCGGAAUCCUACUCAUCACCACGGAGCACAAUAGAUUCCUCUCCACCUCAGCACAACAAACUCGCAAGGACAUUAUGGCCUCCCGGAGAUCCCUCCAUGGCCGAACCGACUGUCUCUUACUGCUACUAUCUUUUCUACCGAUAUUAUGACACUACAACCUAUUACAGCCUCAUCGAUCGAAGCCACUCAAGCUAUCACCUCAGUUCCAAGCUCACAACAGUUCUUGUAGCAUCAAAGGCUUGGUCAUCCCAGUAGUGACCACCUCAAGCACUUCAUCACCAACUCAACUGUCACGAGAAUCCACCUCAAAACGAUCUCCAACCAAAUGUGCACAACAUGAUCUAUAGCAAACAUUCAACCAAAAAAUUUCUAAAACAAGCAACUACAAGAGCCACCCAACCUCUCGAAUUAAUCCACUCAAACUUAAGCGGCCGCAUCUCUACUCCAACAUUCUCUAACUACAGAUACUAUGUUACAUUCAUCGACGACUUUUCCAAAUAUAUUGUACUAAAACUAUUAUGAAAAAAGAACAAAUGUCUACAUGAAUUCAAAAUUUUUCACAUGGGCUGAGAAUCAAACAGGCUAUAAAAUCAAAACUCUCCACUCCAAUCAAGGAGGAGAGUACUUAUCUUCAAAAUUAUCUUCAAGUAGUACUCACUACCUGGAAGCACAUGGAAUUCAACUUCAAUUCACCGCUCACUACCUAGAAGCACAUAGAAUUCAACAUCAACUCAACAUAUCCUAUACACCAGGCCAAAAUGGUGUGGCUGAAUGCAAGAAUCGAACUCUCCUCUACACCACAAGGUGCAUGCUCCAUGAAGCUCAACUCUCUAGAUCGUAUUAGGGAGAAGCAGGGGGAGAAGCACGGGGAGAAGCAGUCACAUGUGCUCCGUAUAUACAAAAUCGACUUCCCACGAAGGCUAUUCCUUCUCACACCACUCCAUUCGAGAUGUGGCACAAGAAGAAGCCCGAUCUCACUCACAUUCGUGUAUUUGGAAGUCGAUGUUAUGGCAAAAUCCCUGAUCCGCUCCGUAUCAAGCUUGAUGGAAAAACGGAGGCUUGCAUAUUCCUUGGCUAUAGCCCAGUCAGCAAGGGAUACAAGGUUCAACUCCUCCGCACUGGCGCCACCGUCGUCUCUAGGGACGUCAUCCUUCAGGAGAAGCCUGCUCCUCCCCGCCAACCUGUUCAGGCCAGCCCCUCACCCGAUGCCAGACUCCAGGAAGACCCACAUUUCUUCCUUCCCAGCAGGUCGCAGCUCCCUGCCACUCCACCUGCACGUGUAUCCACGCGUGAGCCCCAGCACCCUCUUUCUGAUGCUCCGCAGGUGCCGUCAGACCAGCAUCAACGUCCUCCUUCACUAUCUGUCACGAAUCCUCUUGAUGAUCACCUCUCGUCUGCUGCUCCGGAACCAGAUGCUGCUGAUGGCCCCAGCCAUGGGUUGAGCAAUUUUCAUAUUUUGCUUCCCCUGGCUCCAGAUUCCGCCCGUGCUCAGUCCCGACUUGAACAAUCCUCCUCGCCCGAGGUACCACCACUCCUCCCGGCUAGACCGUCCCCGCGGCAUGACGUCCGGUCUCCCACCGGCUUAGCCCUCAUGCCUCAUUUAGGCCACCACAAACAAGCUCCCAGCACGGACCAUGUUGCUGACUCUCCCGUUGAGUCCCCGCAUAGAACCUCUCCUGUACCCGUUCGCAAGUCUUCUCGCACCAACAAAGGCGUACCCCCGCCGCGAGACCCUUCCGAAGAUUAUGAUCCAAGUUCUCUUCGGCCGCGGAAGACUCCUCCGCGACCCUCUCGACCGAAGCGCACUCUUCUAACCCUUGCCGCGGUUCCCAUGGAGCCAACGACCUACACGCAAGCCAUGACGUCUCCCGACAGUCACCAUUGGAAAUCUGCCAUAGCUGAAGAACUAAACUCCCAUGCGAUGAACGGCACGUGGAUAUUUUCGACUCUCCCUGCAGAUCGAAAACCCAUCACCUGUAAGUGGAUUUUCAAGCUCAAAUUAAACAGCCACGGCCAAAUUGACCGCUACAAGGCCCGUCUCGUAGCCCGGGGUUUUAACCAAAUUCCCGGGUUGGACUACCACGAGACGUUCUCCCCGGUGGUGAGAAUUCAGUCAAUACGACUGAUUCUCGCCCUUGCCGCCCAGCUGAACCUUCAUGUCCAUCAGAUAAACGUGAGGACAGCCUUCUUAAAUGGCGUUCUCUCCGAGGAAAUAUUCAUGCGGGUGCCGGAGGUGGGGACUUCCCCCCGCCCCGGCAAGGUCUGCCGCUUACUCAAGACCCUCUACAUGUCGAAACAGUCUCCCCGAGAAUGGUUUACGGUCAUAAACAAAUUUUUACUGACCCUCGGCUUCACAAAUUCUGCUGCGGAUGGGAAUGUCUAUGUGUUACAGAACCGCUCUGACUUCGCAGUCCUCACCCUCUACGUCGAUGACACUCUCAUCGCGGGGAACUCCCUCCCCUUUCUCCAUUCGAUCAAGCGACAACUCAACUCUCGCUUCUUACUCUCCGAUCUCGGCGAAGUACAUCACCUGCUCAGUUUACAGGUCACUCGAAAUCUUGAUCACGGAUGGUUCCGAAUCACACAAGCUCUGUACAUCACACAGAAGCUUGCGGAAUUCGGUUUCCUCGCCUCCAAACCUGUGUCGACCCCGCUGGCCCUUGGGACUCAUCUUUCAGCGGCCGACUGUCCGUCCUCCUCUGCCGAAACUGCCCUUAUUGCUGCCUUCCCCUAUGCGAAUGCUGUGGGGUCGCUGAAAUGGGCCAGCUUGUGCACUCGCCCGGAUCUCUCGUUCACGGUCAACGUUCUUGCUCAAUGUAUGCACAACCCGGGCGAUGCCCAUAUACGUGCAUGUAAACAUGUGUUUCGGUACCUCCGCGGCACUAUCGACCACUAUCUGGAGUACCGCCGCACUUCUACUGUGCCGCGCCCUCUCUACGGCUUCAGCGAUGCCGACUGGGCAGGCGAAGUGGAUCAACGCCACUCGACAUCCGGCUACGUUUUUCUUCUGUCAACAGGCGCCAUCAGUUGGAGCUCCACACGCCAAAAGACGACAGCCCUAUCCAGCACGGAGGCUGAGUAUGUCGCCAUGGCCACAGCCGCGUCCGAGCUUCUAUGGUUGCGGCAACUCCUCCACGACCUUCACUGCACCGACACCCUAAAGACGCCGACCCGUGUAUACUGCGACAACCAAUCAGCGUUAGCAUUAGUCACAACCACUCGUUUUCACUCCCGCACAAAGCACAUUUCUAUCCGCUACCAUUUCAUACGCCAACUUAUGGCUCAACACAAAGCCGAAUUUACCUACUGCCCAACAGACAAUAUGCAUGCGGACAUUUUCACGAAGUCCCUCACUGCACCGAAGCAUGCCCAGCAUUUACCCAUGCUUGGCCUGCUUGGAGGAGAAACCCCCCGUUCGUGAUGCUUUGGUUAAGCGGCCGUGUUGGAAACAAUAACAAUGACUAACCGAACAUAACGAACAAACUAAGUGAAACGUCGCAACUAGUCAAAUAGGCGAGACCUUGAACGGUCGCACCUCCCUCAAUAGAAUAAUAACAGUGUACACUCAAUUUUUAAUAUAGGUAUUAUAUUCUUUCUAUCAAAAACUCUCAAGUUCACUUGCUUCUAAUAUAAUAAUUGUGAAUUGAUUGAUGCUGCAGGAAUGAUUUUGGAGGAUCACUGAGUGUAUCGUGCAGUGUCCCAGUCCAAACAGGGCUCAAGGCUUAGGGGAGAAGGAACUAAUGUAGAGGAGUAAUCCAGGACAACAGAAUGACUGACUCUCGUUCAUCCUCCCUCAUAAAUAGUGUAGCCGAAUACGAUGAGAGUGUGUUCAUUUCCAGCCUGAGUUUUGUAUUCAGUUUAUGAUUUAUAUAUAAUACAAUUGCUCUAUACAGUUCACAUACUUUAAUAGACUACUAUUGCAUUAUUAUAUUGUAAGCAAACGUAUUCUGAUUGUUAUUUUGUUGAAACAGUGAAUAGUACAUCUAUUAGUGAAUGAUUAUGUGGAGGUGGCAUGCAUUACAUUCCUCUAUGAAGAGUGGAUUGUAUAAAACAAUAAAGUUAAAUACCAAAUUUUUAUAUUAUAAUUUAUUAUUAGACGUUAUUUUAAAGUUUUAGAAUAUAUGAAAUGUGAUGUUUUUUAUUUCCAAUUGGUGCUUAUAACAUUUGACAUAGGUAUGCUAUUGUUGUCAUGGUAUCUUUUUGUUUUUGUUUAUAUUUUGUUUUGUGUUUUGCUUCUGUUGCUUGAUGUUUUAGUUCAAGGCAAGGUUUUCUCUCAUCUACUCUUUGUUCAAGAUUCAUAGUUGUUAUUUAAACUUUAAAGUGUGAGCAUGCAUUAGAAGUAAUUGAUUGAUGGUUCAAGUGAAUAGGCUGUUUUGGAGUUUGUGAAAGUUGAUACCCCCUAGUUACAUUCAAUUUGUUUUAAUUGAAGAUCAGAGACUAUUAGAUGUCAAAAGGAAGUUUUGUGCGGAAAGUUGAUAUUUGGAGUUGAUCUUGGAUAUAGUUUUCUACUUUGACAAUAUUUCUAAUAUAAUGUGAAGGACAAGAUUUUGAUGAAAGCAAAUAAACAAAUGUGGGUUUCUCAAACAAAUAUAAAAAAAUAUGUAUAUUAAAAAGAAAUUUGAAAUGGCUAUUGCCAAAGAACAAAGAAAUUAGAAAGUCUUGAAAUUAAACUAAAAACAAGAAGAGAAUUCAUAAGAAUGAAGAAAGCUUUACUCUUGCUUCUAUAUAUAUUAUCUAUUUAGGAUCUAUGUGGUAACGUUCUAUAGGUUGUCCAAUAUCAUGUUGACUUUAUAUGACAUAUAUUUUAUCUUGUAAGACAAGUUUUCUAUAUAGACGCCAUAUAGUUAGCUUGUUUUUCAAGCUAUCAACACAUGUGGCUGUCAUGGCCAUAAUCAUAUAAGCUAAUAAUUACAUAUAGAAAUAGGUAGAAGUAAGUAAAAGUAGGUAAAAUUAAGUUAAUUCUAUAAUAUUUAAUAUGGAAGCUUCCUAGAAACUUCCUAGACGCUGCUUUGACUUCAUAGGUGUCUUUAAUUGACUUUUUGGAUUAGAAACGUGGUCAACAAGUUGGCCAUGUGCCACACAUGUUGUUAGCUUGAAGAUCAAGCUAACUAUGUAGCCCACAUGUAGAAAAACUUGCCUUAUAAGUCAAGGCAUGUGCCCUACAAAGUCAACACCUAUUGGAGGUCCUAUAGAACGUCGCCACGUAGCUCUUAGUUAGAUAGUAUAUAUAGAGACAAGAGUGAAGGCUUCUUCACUCUUGUCAACUCCUUUCUUGCUUCUAGUCUAGUUUUAAGGAUCUCUAGUUUUCUUGUCUUUCGGCAAUAGCCAUUCCAGUUUCUCUUUCAAUAAAUAUACUUGUUUAUAUAUAUUUUGUUACCUCUCUUUGGGUGAAUGCUCACUUGUCUGAAUUAUUUUUUCAUCGAGUUCUUGUCCUUGACAGAUUGACAAGAGUACACCUACAAUAUCAGAGCUUUGUCUAAUCUUGUUUAAGAGUGGAUUACCCUUUUUUCUUGAUAAGAUAUAAGCGUAUUAGAAGUUGCGAAUUACCCUCUUCUAAACUGAUAUUGUCCUUAGUAUAUUCUUUGCCCGCAAGUCCUCUCUUCUAGUUGUCUUGAGUGAUAUUAGACAUCUUCUCUCUUCUAAGUGUUAUUAUGGCAAAACUUCUUGAAAUGAAGAGUGCAAUGGCACAAAUGCAAGAGCAAUUGAGGGAGUUAAUGCUUGCAAUGCAUCAACUCAAUUUACUACCACAAGGAGCAACAAGAUUGAUAGGAAGAGAAGAUAUAGAAAUGGUUGGAGCUGCUUCAACAUCUGCACCAAUCCAUGUCCUUUCUCCUAUGGUGGAACGCCCUUCAAAUGUUAGAGAACCAAGAAUUGUCCUACUCGAGAAGUUUGAUGGCACCAGAUCUAAGUUUCGAGGAUUUAUCAAUCAAGUGCAACUUGUCAUUGAACUUCAACCCCAAAGCUAUCCAAUUCCAGGAUCACAAGUUAGAUUCAUUGGUACGCUUCUUUUAGGUUCAGCACUAUCGUAGUUUUCAUCUUUUCUUGAACGACGAGAUCUAAUAUUGGAUAAUCUAGAGGCUUUUUUGGCGGAGUUUUGAUCCAUGUAUGGAGAACAUGAUGUAAUUCGUGUUGCAACCAAUAAGAUCCGUAUUUUAUGACAAGACAAUCGAUCAGUAACGUUAUAUGCUUCACAAUUUUGACAACUUGCAACUGAUAUCAAGUGGGAUGAUGCUGUACUUAUUAGUCAAUUUCUCUAUGGAUUACAAUAUGAGGUAAAAAAAUUAAUGCUCAACUUACCUGAUCCUCAAACA
Molecule: long non-coding RNA, 8807 nt
Filed under: Physcomitrium patens
Lineage: Eukaryota; Viridiplantae; Streptophyta; Bryopsida; Funariales; Funariaceae
Description: long non-coding RNA (PPAT_LNC004828)
Source: RNAcentral